AUUGAACGCUGGCGGCAGGCCUAACACAUGCAAGUCGAACGAGUGGCGGACGGGUGAGUAAUGUCUGGGAAACUGCCCGAUGGAGGGGGAUAACUACUGGAAACGGUAGCUAAUAACGCAUACCAUCGGAUGUGCCCAGAUGGGCUUAGCUUGUAGGUGAGGUAACGGCUCACCUAGGCGACGAUCCCUAGCUGGUCUGAGAGGAUGACCAGGCACACUGGAACUUGGACAGGGUCCAGACUCUGACGGGAGGCAGCAGUGGGGAAUAUUGCACAAUGGGGGCAAGCCUGAUGCAGCCAUGCCGGGGGUAUGAAGAAGGCCUUCGGGUUGUAAAGUACUUGCAGCGGGGAGGCGUUACCCGCAGAAGAAGCACCGGCUAACUCCGUGCCAGCAGCCGCGGUAAUAC
RNAcentral lists this ribosomal RNA (406 nucleotides) under uncultured bacterium. Its description in RNAcentral is "partial 16S ribosomal RNA". It matches the Rfam family "Bacterial small subunit ribosomal RNA", at positions 30 to 526 of the family's 1533-position model. The record is from RNAcentral.